CAGGGCUUGACAUCCUCAGAAUCCCAAGGAAACUUGGGAGUGCCCUUCGGGGAGCUGGGAGACAGGUGGUGCAUGGUUGUCGUCAGCUCGUGUCGUGAGAUGUUGGGUUAAGUCCCGCAACGAGCGCAACCCCUGUGUUUAGUUGCUAACGAGUAAUGUCGAGCACUCUAGACAGACUGCCGGUGAUAAACCGGAGGAAGGUGGGGAUGACGUCAAAUCAUCAUGCCCCUUAUGUCCUGGGCUACACACGUGCUACAAUGGCCAGUACAGACGGACGCGAAGCCGCGAGGUGGAGCAAAUCCGAGAAAGCUGGUCUCAGUUCGGAUUGCAGGCUGCAACUCGCCUGCAUGAAGUCGGAAUCGCUAGUAAUCGCAGGUCAGCAUACUGCGGUGAAUACGUUCC
RNAcentral lists this ribosomal RNA (402 nucleotides) under uncultured bacterium. Its description in RNAcentral is "bacterial SSU rRNA". It matches the Rfam family "Bacterial small subunit ribosomal RNA", at positions 975 to 1374 of the family's 1533-position model. The record is from RNAcentral.